GCCAGGGGUGGUAAUGUGUGCCUGUACUCCUAGCUAAUCAGGAAGCUGAGGCAGAAGGAUUGCUUGAGCCCAGGGGUUCAAGGCUGCAGUGAGCUAUGAUUGUGUCACUGCACUCCAUCCUACACAACAGAAUGAAAUCAAGUCUUACAUUCUGUUGAGCUACUAUAACCUGUUGAACGACCCCAACCUCUAGGUAGAGCAAUUUGGAACGAUCUAUCAAUAUUUAGAAUGUAUAUAACUUUUGACCUAGCAAUUGUAUUUCUAAGAAUUUAUCCUGAAGAUACAUAUCUUAAACAAUGACAUAUAUACAAGGAUAUCUGUUGUGGUAGCAACAGAUUGUGGGCAACCCUGAUUCCCAUCAAGAGAAGACUGAUUAAAUUAAAUAUAUUUAAUAUAUGUGGAAUCCUAUGCAGUUAUUAAAAAGAAUGUGGUGCCUAAGGAGAGGGGAACCGGCUCAGGUCAGAAACGGAGAAGUCAGAACUCCCGAGCUGAUCAGUAGUGGGAUUGUACCUGUGAAUAGCCACUGCACUCCAGCCUGGGCAACAUAGUGAAACCCCGUCUUUU
Unclassified non-coding RNA from Callithrix jacchus (white-tufted-ear marmoset), 564 nucleotides. It matches the Rfam family "Metazoan signal recognition particle RNA". From Rfam's summary of the family: The signal recognition particle (SRP) is a universally conserved ribonucleoprotein. It is involved in the co-translational targeting of proteins to membranes. The eukaryotic SRP consists of a 300-nucleotide 7S RNA and six proteins: SRPs 72, 68, 54, 19, 14, and 9. NCBI's taxonomy places the organism in Eukaryota, Metazoa, Chordata, Mammalia, Primates, Cebidae. The record is from Ensembl.